RNAcentral lists this ribosomal RNA (460 nucleotides) under uncultured bacterium. RNAcentral's name for it is "partial 16S ribosomal RNA". It matches the Rfam family "Bacterial small subunit ribosomal RNA", at positions 338 to 795 of the family's 1533-position model. The record is from RNAcentral.
CCUACGGGAGGCAGCAGUGAGGAAUAUUGGUCAAUGGACGGAAGUCUGAACCAGCCAUGCCGCGUGCAGGAAGACGGCUCUAUGAGUUGUAAACUGCUUUUGUACAAGGGUAAACCUGAAUACGUGUAUUCAGCUGAAAGUACUGUACGAAUAAGGAUUGGCUAACUCCGUGCCAGCAGCCGCGGUAAUACGGAGGAUCCAAGCGUUAUCCGGAUUUAUUGGGUUUAAAGGGUGCGUAGGCGGAUUGAUAAGUUAGAGGUGAAAUGUCCGAGCUUAACUCGGGAACUGCCUCUAAUACUGUUGGUCUAGAGAGUAGAUGCGGUAGGCGGAAUGUAUGGUGUAGCGGUGAAAUGCUUAGAGAUCAUACAGAACACCGAUUGCGAAGGCAGCUUACCAAUCUAUAUCUGACGUUGAGGCACGAAAGCGUGGGGAGCAAACAGGAUUAGAUACCCUUGUAGUC